UGGAUUGAUGAUGACCACUGGUGGCGUAUGUUAGAAGUCGUUUACAGUAAAGACGUAUCUGGAACUCUGAGGUCCAA
Hyaena hyaena (striped hyena) is the source of this 77-nucleotide small nucleolar RNA. RefSeq annotates it as small nucleolar RNA SNORD113/SNORD114 family. NCBI's taxonomy places the organism in Eukaryota, Metazoa, Chordata, Mammalia, Carnivora, Hyaenidae. The record is from RefSeq and is a predicted model, not a curated record. The transcript has a single exon.